GAUCCUACGGGGGGCAGCAGUGGGGAAUAUUGGGCAAUGGGCGCAAGCCUGACCCAGCAACGCCGCGUGAAGGAAGAAGGCUUUCGGGUUGUAAACUUCUUUUCUCAGGGACGAAGCAAGUGACGGUACCUGAGGAAUAAGCCACGGCUAACUACGUGCCAGCAGCCGCGGUAAUACGUAGGUGGCAAGCGUUAUCCGGAUUUAUUGGGUUUAAAGGGUGCGUAGGCGGGACGGUAAGUCAGCGGUAAAAAUGCGGAGCUCAACUCCGUCGAGCCGUUGAAACUGCCGUUCUUGAGUGAGCGAGA
This 305-nucleotide ribosomal RNA is filed under the name uncultured bacterium. Its description in RNAcentral is "bacterial SSU rRNA". It matches the Rfam family "Bacterial small subunit ribosomal RNA", at positions 335 to 655 of the family's 1533-position model. The record is from RNAcentral.